AGCAGCCGCGGUAAUUCCAGCUCCAAUAGCGUAUAUUAAAGUUGUUGCAGUUAAAAAGCUCGUAGUUGAAUUUCGGGGUUAGUAGGUUGGUCGUGCCACUGGUAUGUACUGGCUUUACUGAUUCCUCCUUCUUGAAGAGCUGUAAUGUCAUUAAUUUGAUGUUGCAGGGAAACAGGACUGUUACUUUGAAAAAAUUAGAGUGUUUAAAGCAGGCACACGCUUGAAUACAUUAGCAUGGAAUAAUGAAAUAGGACGUUUGACCCUAUUUUGUUGGUUUCUAGGAUCGACGUAAUGAUUAAUAGGGAUAGUUGGG
Molecule: ribosomal RNA, 313 nt
Filed under: uncultured Glomus
Lineage: Eukaryota; Fungi; Glomeromycota; Glomeromycetes; Glomerales; Glomeraceae
Description: SSU rRNA
Rfam family: Eukaryotic small subunit ribosomal RNA
Source: RNAcentral